Molecule: ribosomal RNA, 207 nt
Filed under: uncultured bacterium
Lineage: Bacteria
Description: partial 16S ribosomal RNA
Rfam family: Bacterial small subunit ribosomal RNA
Source: RNAcentral
UGUGUAGGCGGGCUAUUAAGUCAGUGGUGAAAUCUCCGAGCUUAACUUGGAAACUGCCAUUGAUACUAUUAGUCUUGAAUGUUGUUGAGGUGGGCGGAAUACAUCAUGUAGCGGUGAAAUGCUUAGAUAUGAUGUAGAACACCGAUUGCGAAGGCAGCUCACUAAACAACGAUUGACGCUGAGGCACGAAAGCGUGGGGAUCAAACA